Molecule: non-coding RNA, 54 nt
Organism: Salmo salar (Atlantic salmon)
Lineage: Eukaryota; Metazoa; Chordata; Actinopteri; Salmoniformes; Salmonidae
Source: Rfam
UGCAUUCACUACUGUAAGUCGCUCUGGAUAAGAGCGUCUUAUAAAUGACUAAAA